AAGGGCUAUAGCUCAGUUCGGUAGAGCAACUCGCUUACACGAUCUGUUUUACCGAGAAGGUCUACGGUUCGAAUCCGUAUAGCCCUA
RNAcentral lists this transfer RNA (87 nucleotides) under Triodia stipoides. RNAcentral's name for it is "tRNA-Val". It matches the Rfam family "tRNA". From Rfam's summary of the family: Transfer RNA (tRNA) molecules are approximately 80 nucleotides in length. Their secondary structure includes four short double-helical elements and three loops (D, anti-codon, and T loops). Lineage: Eukaryota; Viridiplantae; Streptophyta; Magnoliopsida; Poales; Poaceae. The record is from RNAcentral.